GUCCUUGCGCUUGCGUAUUGCGGCUUCUGCCUGUCGCCUCGGCCCGGAUCGGGAAGUGACAAGCGGGAGUCGGGUUUCCCCGCCUUCGCCGCUACCACCGCUGAAUCCGGACCCCUUACCCAGGCCCGAGCCUAGCCGCCAUGACUAACGGUGAGGGUCGGUGCCCCGAGCGGAGGGUGGUAGUAAAGGACGCGGGGGAAACUGGCGGGCGGGGCCGGGACUGACGUGGCCGUUCUCCCCGCCCCCUCCCAGCCCUUCCCCUCUCCGCUUCUCGAAGCCCUUAACUCCUUUCUCGUGUACUUCUCUGCAGGUUCCUUCUUCCGGUGCUCAUCUAGGUCUCUCAGUCCCUCUCCUGUCCACAUCUCGAGCCUCAGGUCUCUACCCCUCUUUUCCUUUCCAAGAAGUUCGUUUUGGCCCGGAGGAGGGCAGUCUCCAGAAAACUAGUGUUCUUUAACCCCAGGGAGGAGAGAAUACUCCUUCCCAGCCCCCUACUUUCUCGUACUUUGGAACUGUAGGCUGGUUAAGAGGAUCAAGAAAUCACCGAGGAUAUCAAACCUCACACUUUGGCGAGUCGGGGGAGGUGAACGUAGACCCUCCCCAAAGUUCUUUUAAAAAAUGCCGGAAAGCCUUCUCUUGCUUAAUUCUAAAGUCCUAACUGGGUCAUCACAUCUGGAAACUCUGGCUGGUGUUGCAAAGGAUAGAUUUAGACACUACCUUUUCUAAAUGAUAUAGUAGUUGUCACCCUGAUCUAAUUUUCCCGGUUUCUUCAAACACUUUAUAGACAUGAUUUCUGAAAUCCAGGGAAAGGCAGGGAGCAGGCCUUCUAUGGUCUUUACAAUCAGCCUUUCAGAAAAGGAAAAGAAAACGUCUUUUAGGCAGUAUAACUUGAAGGGCACAGGAAAGCAUUUCUCAAAAGUACCUUGUCCAUAGGUGUGGCAUUGAAGACUAUUAUUUCACCUCCUUGUGAAAUUUUGGCAGCGUCUGCAAAUAUUUAUGGGAGGAAAAGUAGCUCAUGAAGGUAUCAUUCUUCCUAAAAACUGUGUGUGUAUAAUUUGCUGGACCUAGCUAUGAGAGUGUUUUACUGGAGGAGGAGAGACGCAUAGUGUGGUCCAAAACUGGCAGACAUUAGCUAUACACAAUAUCAGUUUGGAACUUCCCGGAUAGUCAGAGGUCUCAGGACGUUACCCAGAGGAAGAAAUAAUCCGAACCUGGAAAUAAGAGAGCAUUCUGGCACAUAGUAGUUGCUGAAUAAUUUGUGUGUGUGUCUGUGUUCCACUUGUGCAGUCCAGUAUUAUUAUUACUUGCAGUAAGGUAAUUCAUUGUGCUCACCAGUACAAUUUGAAUUUACAUAUAUAAAAUACAGAACUGAGAGCUUAAAGUUUUUUGCUAUGUCAAAUGAUCAGCUUUUUAAAAUACAAGAAUGUGUUGUUAUUCUGGCAGAAAUUUGGUUUGUAAGUAGAGUAUCAUGCAUGAAGUGUAAGCUAAUUAUAAGAAAAUGGUAUUCACAUGAAUUCUAACUCUGAAAAUUUUCAUGAAGCUUUAUUCUUUGCCUCAACAUUAUAUUCUUCACUAACAGAUGUAGAUCAGACAGACUUGGCUAACCAUCGAGUUCUCCUUUAUUACAUGAGUGGUUUAAAACCAGAACAUGUUUAAUUCUCUGUGUUCAGGCUCCAAGGAUUCUUAUUCCUCUCUCAGCCCAUUGCCAACACUGGAAGGCUGAUUCCACAUAAAUCUAUACACCCUACUCAGGAUUCUAGUUUGGGAAAGGUGAGGGGAGGAGGCAGUGAAACUGUUGUAAAGGGGAUGUCUACAAGCAAUUUUGGUGAGCAGUAAGGUAACAUUGUAAGUCUCAGGACCUUGGCUCUCUCUUGUCAAGUGUUGGCACUGCCAUUUGAUACUGUUAUCUUGAUAUUAUAUAACACUCUGUCCUCCUUAGCUGAGACUCACACUUAGCCCUUUCUCAGCUGGUAUUACCUAUUUCAAGUUGGAUCAGCGCUGAAAGUUUGUUUUUUUUUUUUUGUUUAUUACAGUGUACUCCUUGGAUGGGAUUCUGGUGUUUGGUUUGCUCUUUGUUUGCACCUGUGCCUACUUCAAGAAAGUACCUCGUCUCAAAACCUGGCUGCUAUCAGAGAAGAAGGGAGUUUGGGGUGUGUUUUACAAAGGUAAGGUCAUGUCUGGACAAAGGAGGAGAUGGCCAUCUCUGGACAGUGUGGUGUUACGAAUGGGGUGUUAUGAGCUGAGAUUAUAUUUGAUUCCACUUUUAGAAAAAAAUCUUGAGAUGAAGUCUGAGUAAAUUUAGAAAACAUUCUUAUUUCACUAAUGGAGUCUAUGAACUGAGAUGGAGUCUGGUAAAAUUAAGUAAUCAUUUUACAAAAUUGAAAAAAGAGGUAGCCCAGAACAGUGAUGCACACCUGUAAUCCCAGCAAUUUAGGAGGCAGAGGCAGGAGGAUCUCAAGUUCAAGGGCAGCCUCAGCAAGUUAGCAAGGCCCUAAGCAACUCGUGAGACCCUGCCUCAAAAGAAAAAAAAAGGUGGGUGGGGCUGGGGAUGUAGCUCAGUGGUUUAGUGCCCCUGGAUUCAAUCCCCAGUACCAAAAGCAAAGAAAAAAAGAGAUGAAUUGUGAAUUUGCUAUUAUUUAGGCGAUAAGUGUUUAUUUUAGCAUCCAGGAAAGUUCAGUAUUCUCUGUGGAGUAAAAGUGUACAAAUUAAGCUAGUUUUGACUGGGCUGGAGGGGAGGAAUAUUUUACCACUGAAACCUUUCCUGAUUUUCUGGAAACAAUACAGUGUAAGUUUUGAUUUAACUAAUGAAGAUGUAUUUUUACUUUUUAUUUUGGGUAUCUUCAAUUGGAAUCCUACCUACCUAAAUCUUUUUUCAAAAUAAGGUAAAAAAUAGAAAUAAUGUAUUCAUCGAGAACCUAGAGCAUAAAUGUAGCAUUUAAAAACAUUCCCAGGUUCUUGAAAUUCUUAAUAGAUCUCUUUGUUUGUAACUAGAAAUUUUAGAAUGUCACCUGGAAUGUUAGGAUUUUUGUGAACGGCUGGGAGUGAUUUCUUCUUUCUAUUUUUGCCUGCUAGCUGCUGUGAUUGGAACCAGGCUGCAUGCUGCUGUGGCAAUCGCUUGCAUCGUAAUGGCCUUUUAUGUCUUGUUUGUAAAAUGAAUUACAAAAUACCCAACUCAUCAACUGCCAACCAAGGGGACAGGGGUGAAGAACCUGUUGGAGGCCUGGACCCAGUGUAGGAGAGUUCAGCCAAAAACAUCAAUGUCCCCAAGGUGACAUCACAGCAUCUGCCCCUGCCAUAUGUGAGGAAAACUACUUGUGGUCACGGAUGUUAUUUAUGCUUUAGGGGACUCCAGAAAGCCAACUUCCUUUGAUCUGUGUGUAAAUUGGCUCUCAGCAGUGAACAUAUAAUGUCCAGUUUAAUUACACCCAUCAAUGAUAAGAUUAUAUACCUCCUGCUUUUUAAAAACCUGUCACCUGGGCUAGGGUUGAGCUCAGUGGUACAAUAUUUGCUUAGCAUGUGUGAGGCCCUGGAUUCAAUUCUCAGCACUGCAAGAAAACAAAAAUAACACCAACAUGUCACCUGUUUUGUUCUUCAACCCCGCAUCAGGAUCUUUUCAAACUGAGGCUUAUAGGGAAGGACAUAGGCUGUGUUCAGACCUCUUGAAAGGAGAGAUAAUUUUCAAGACUUGACUUUUUUUCACUGUUUAAUAUGGUUUUGGCAAAUUGGGGAGGGAGGGUACCAGGUGGGAAAAAGGAGUUAUGAAAGGCCAGGAAAUUGCUUGGUUUUAGAAAAUUGUCUUUUAUCUACUUACCUGGGAACAUGAGAGAGAGGCAUGGCUCUCAUUGCAAAAAGAGAAUAGAUGAAGCAGCUUGGUGUGUGCUGAGAGCUUGAGUUUUGCCAAGAGAAUCUGAGCUCAUAUAAAAAUCCAGAAAUUAACCAUCUGUGAUGAGACUAAAGAGCAGUGAUUAAGACAAGAAAACACUUCCUGUUCACCUGUAUCCCCAAAAGAAGACUUUACUCAAUCAAAUGGUAUAUGAAAAAUGAAUCAGCUGUUGCUAUUUCCUAAGGCUUUUUUAUAUUUUCUAACUUAGUGCUAAAUACUGUUACUCAGUUUUAAAUGCUACCACUAGGGGAAAAAGAAACGGUUGAAGAAAUAAUUGUUUAAUAUAUUUGCAGUUAGAGGAGAAGAUAUAAAUUAGCAUAUUAAUUCAUAUACUAGUGAAUUCAUCUAGUAUAAGAAUUUAUUGUGAUAUUAUAUGGAAGUGUUCUCAUGUUAUAAAAGAUUUAUACUUAGUCUUUGUGUUAUGGCAAUUUUUAGUUGACUACCUGUUUUCUUGGCCAACUGCAUUUUCUUUAUAUCACAGUCUUUUUCAUUGUUUCUGGAAAUUAUUUACUGGGGAAACAUGAGAAAUUCAAACGAGAAGUUGGUGAUAUUCGUUGGCAUGUUUGGACAGUUCAUAGACUCCAUUAGUGAAAUAAGAAUGUUUUCUAAAGUAAAGGAGAAUAGAACUUUACAAUUCAGAGAAAAGAGCUUUUUCAUUGACUAUGGCAAUUCCUGAGCAAAUCUUUUCAGAUGACAACAUUUUCAGGAAAGACUUUUCUGCUCCCUCCUCAUAUAUGCAGAAUCAGCUGUUGGAUUUGUGAAGCUAAGAACUUCUGUAUAUGAAAAAAAGUCUAAAACUAAAUUAUAGUAAGCAAGCAUAGAUAAAGAUCUUCCAGUUGAAUUGUCCAUUACAGCAAAACUUGACUGUGGACAAAGUUAGCUGUGGAUAUCUCCUGUAUGGCAAUAAAUUAAUUUGUCUUUUGUCUGUUUUCUAUAAAAGAUUAAAAGCUGCUAGGAAGUUUAGGUUCUACUAUAUGCAGUUUCAUGCUUUGAGGGAUCCUACAAGUACAGACAUCAUCAAGUAAACACUACAUGUCUAAUCAUCUCAGAGUUGUGGCUGUUAUCUCUUCAGGGAUUGGUCCACAGGAUAAAUUUCAGUUAUUCAUGUUUCCAAUUGUCAUUUCUGGAAUCUUUCAUAUGAGAAAGGAAUAGAAAAGAAAAGUUACAUCAUAUGGUGUGAAUUUGGAAUCUGUUGGUCAUAGGGAAUGUCUCCCUGGGAACAGGUUCAGCAUGUUUUGCACUUGUUAUUUGGUAGCUUUAAUGACUUGUUUUCUAAUAGGGCUAAUGUCUCUAAGUUUGGUGCUUAGAGCUGCUUCAUAUUUUAAACUAGUUCCAUUCCACAUUGUAGUUCAACCAAUUUUUAUAACUGCCUGGGUGGGUCAUGUUGGCCUAGACUCUUUGAGUGGUGAUAUUUUGAGAUUUUUCAUUCCAGAAUGUACCAAAAAGUGUACAAGGUGAAGAUAAUUUACAGCAAGAAACAAAUACACAGCCUAUUUCAUUUCUUGAUUUUAUAUAAACAGAAAAACAGAAACUUUAACUCAUUACUUUGGUUGAUAUGUCAUACUAUUUUGGCUAAAAAUUAUAAAAAUUGUUCCUCUGGGGAAGUCUUAGGGGUGGGGGCAUGAGGAGAGCAAUAUUGCCUCAAAUUCAACUUGGUAUCACCAUAAACCCUGUGUACCAGGGUAGAAUGAAGUCAGCUCCUUUUUAUAGUUGAAAUACAGUUUUUUUUAUUCAUCAAUAUCUGCACAAAUCCUUGAAAAUAAAAUUUCUUUCCCUACAAUAUUUGUCCAUUUUAUUUGAC
This 5681-nucleotide long non-coding RNA is filed under the name Marmota monax (woodchuck). The record is from RNAcentral. Lineage: Eukaryota; Metazoa; Chordata; Mammalia; Rodentia; Sciuridae.